GAUGAAGAACGCAGCGAAAUGCGAUACGUAAUGUGAAUUGCAAAUUCAGUGAAUCAUCGAGUCUUUGAACGCACAUUGCGCCCCCUGGUAUUCCGGGGGGCAUGCCUGUCCGAGCGUCAUUGCUGCCCUCAAGCACGGCUUGUGUGUUGGGCCCCGUCCUCCGAUCCCGGGGGACGGGCCCGAAAGGCAGCGGCGGCACCGCGUCCGGUCCUCGAGCGUAUGGGGCUUUGUCACCCGCUCUGUAGGCCCGGCCGGCGCUUGCCGAUCAACCCAAAUUUUUAUCCAGGUUGACCUCGGAUCAGGUAGGGAUACCCGCCGAACUUAAGCAUAUCAAUAAGCGGAGGA
This 345-nucleotide unclassified non-coding RNA is filed under the name soil metagenome. RNAcentral's name for it is "partial contains 5.8S ribosomal RNA, internal transcribed spacer 2, and large subunit ribosomal RNA". The stretch from base 1 to 119 matches the Rfam family "5.8S ribosomal RNA", at positions 35 to 154 of the family's 154-position model. The record is from RNAcentral.